RNAcentral lists this ribosomal RNA (280 nucleotides) under uncultured bacterium. RNAcentral's name for it is "partial 16S ribosomal RNA". It matches the Rfam family "Bacterial small subunit ribosomal RNA", at positions 78 to 353 of the family's 1533-position model. The record is from RNAcentral.
GCUUGCUUUCUUUGCUGGCGACCGGCGCACGGGUGAGUAACACGUAUCCAACCUGCCCUUUACUCGGGGAUAGCCUUUCGAAAGAAAGAUUAAUACCCGAUAGCAUAAUGAUUCCGCAUGGUUUCAUUAUUAAAGGAUUCCGGUAAAGGAUGGGGAUGCGUUCCAUUAGGUUGUUGGUGGGGUAACGGCCCACCAAGCCUUCGAUGGAUAGGGGUUCUGAGAGGAAGGUCCCCCACAUUGGAACUGAGACACGGUCCAAACUCCUACGGGAGGCAGCAUG